This 153-nucleotide ribosomal RNA is filed under the name Armillaria sp. 1 TG-2016. RNAcentral's name for it is "partial large subunit ribosomal RNA". It matches the Rfam family "Eukaryotic large subunit ribosomal RNA", at positions 1 to 152 of the family's 3401-position model. Lineage: Eukaryota; Fungi; Basidiomycota; Agaricomycetes; Agaricales; Physalacriaceae. The record is from RNAcentral.
UUGACCUCAAAUCAGGUAGGACUACCCGCUGAACUUAAGCAUAUCAAUAAGCGGAGGAAAAGAAACUAACAAGGAUUCCCCUAGUAACUGCGAGUGAAGAGGGAAAAGCUCAAAUUUAAAAUCUGGCAGCUUCGCUGUCCGAGUUGUAAUUAG